This 749-nucleotide ribosomal RNA is filed under the name uncultured archaeon. RNAcentral describes it as "bacterial SSU rRNA". It matches the Rfam family "Archaeal small subunit ribosomal RNA", at positions 170 to 922 of the family's 1478-position model. The record is from RNAcentral.
CUGGAAUGGUUCAUGGCCGAAAUCUAUAUGGCCUUUGGAUUGGACUGCGGCCGAUCAGGCUGUUGGUGAGGUAAUGGCCCACCAAACCUGUUACCGGUACGGGCUCUGAGAGGAGGAGCCCGGAGAUGGGCACUGAGACAAGGGCCCAGGCCCUAUGGGGCGCAGCAGGCGCGAAACCUCUGCAAUAGGCGAAAGCUUGACAGGGUUACUCUGAGUGAUUUCCGUUAAGGAGAUCUCUUGACACCUCUAAAAAUGGUGAAGAAUAAGGGGUGGGCAAGUCUGGUGUCAACCGCCGCGGUAAUACCAGCUCCUCGAGUGGUCAGGGCGUUUAUUGGGCCUAAAGCAUCCGUAGCCUGCUCAGUAGGUCUCCUGUUAAAUCCAACGGCUCAACCGUUGGUCUGCAGGAGAUACCGCUGGGCUAGGAGGCGGGAGAGGCGGACGGUACUCCGAGGGUAGGGGUAAAAUCCUUUGAUCCCCGGAAGACCACCAGUGGCGAAGGCGGUCCGCCAGAACGCGCUCGACGGUGAGGGAUGAAAGCUGGGGGAGCGAACCGGAUUAGAUACCCGGGUAGUCCCAGCUGUAAACGAUGCGAGCUAGGUGACACGACGCCUUCGGGGCAUCGUGGUGCCGCAGGGAAGCCGUUAAGCUCGCCGCCUGGGGAGUACGGACGCAAGUCUGAAACUUAAAGGAAUUGGCGGGGGAGCACCACAAGGGGUGAAGCCUGCGGUUCAAUUGGACUCAACGCCGGA